AACGAACGCUGGCGGCAGGCCUAACACAUGCAAGUCGAGCGAGGACUCCGGUCCUAGCGGCGCACGGGGGUGUAAAGCGUGGGAACGUGCCCUUUGCUUCGGAAUUGUACUGGGUAACUGGGAGUAAUACCGGAUGAGCUCCUUGGGGGACAGAUUGAUCGUCCAAGGAUCGGCCCGCGUUGGUUUAGGUAGUGGGUGGGGUAAUGGCCUACCAAGGCGACGAUCCAUAGCUGGUUUGAGAGGAAGGUCAGCCACACUGGGACUGAGACACGGUCGAGACUCCUAGGGGAGGGAGCAGUGGGUGAUCUUAGACUAUGGGGGAAGCCCUGAACGAGCCAGGCCGCGUGAGCCAUGAAGUCCUUAGGGUUGUAAAGCACUUUCAUCUGGGAAGAUAAUGACGGUACCAGCAGAAGAAGCCCCGGCUAACUCCGUG
Molecule: ribosomal RNA, 433 nt
Filed under: uncultured bacterium
Lineage: Bacteria
Description: partial 16S ribosomal RNA
Rfam family: Bacterial small subunit ribosomal RNA
Source: RNAcentral